GAUGAACGCUAGCGGCAGGCCUAAUACAUGCAAGUCGGACGGGAUUCAGGAGCUUGCUUCUGAUGAGAGUGGCGCACGGGUGCGUAACACGUAUGUAACCUACCUUUAUCAGGGGGAUAGCCUCUCGAAAGAGAGAUUAAGCCCGCAUAAAAUCACAGCACAGCAUUGUGUAAUGAUCAAAUAUUUAUAGGAUAAAGAUGGGCAUGCGGAACAUUAGCUAGAUGGCGGGGUAACGGCCCACCAUGGCGACGAUGUUUAGGGGAUCUGAGAGGAUGGCCCCCCACACUGGUACUGAGACACGGACCAGACUCCUACGGGAGGCAGCAGUAAGGAGUAUUGGUCAAUGGGCGGAAGCCUGAACCAGCCAUGCCGCGUGCAGGAAGACGGCCCUACGGGUUGUAAACUGCUUUUAUACGGGAAUAAACCCAGAUACGUGUAUCUGGCUGAAUGUACUGUAAGAAUAAGGAUCGGCUAACUCCGUG
This 482-nucleotide ribosomal RNA is filed under the name uncultured bacterium. RNAcentral's name for it is "partial 16S ribosomal RNA". It matches the Rfam family "Bacterial small subunit ribosomal RNA", at positions 28 to 507 of the family's 1533-position model. The record is from RNAcentral.